AGAAGAGCGGGAAGAGGCGGACAGCGAGGCCAAGAUUUCAGCUGCGGGACGGUCAGGGGAGACCUCCAGGCGCAGGGAAGGACGUGAGGAGGGGAAGCGGGCUGGGGCGGCAGCCGGGCGGAGGGGCAGCUGCGCAGGCGGAAUGAGGAACGCCUUUGCUCUAAGGCGACCACCCUGGCAGCUCUUCACUGAGGGGCCUCGGUUUCCACAUCGGUCGCUCUCCGGUCCCAAGACCACCAGGACCGACGGGGCUCUCCGGGAGGGUCAGCCCCUCCGGUGGCCCCAGUCAUGCAUCAGGGGACGGAUCAGAAGGGCUAGGAGACGGGUCGUGGGGAAGGCCCCAGAAAAAAGAGGAAGGAGGGAAGAUUUUGCCUGAAGCGGGAAAGCCAAGGGUUGGGCGGCGCGAGACCCCCAUUCCUAGCGACUGGGGCGGGCUGGUGGCCCGCUGCAGCCCCCGCGCCGGGAGGGUUAGGCCUCCCGCCGUUCCCACCCGUCCGGGCCCUCCCACGUGUUUAGGUCCUCCCAAAAGUAUUCGGCCUCCGGCCCCUGCCCCUUCCCCCAGCCGGCCUGGACCUCGGGGACGCGGGGGGAACUCCGUGGGAGCAGGCGGAUUCUGGACGGGGAGGGAGUCGUGGUCGGGGAGAAGGCUGAGCGGGGAAAGGAGAGAGGGGCUCCGGGGACGGCAGGGAGGAGAGUGGGUCGUGCCGGAGACCCAGGGAGACACAGAAUGAGCAAGAUGAGGGGUGUAGGGUGGGAGUGGGAACUGACUGAUUCCCAGCGUGGGCAGGGGAACUUUGCUAAAACUGCAGGCCCCAGGGAACAGCGCGGGCAGGGUGGGAGGGAACGGAGAGGGCCAGGCGGACCUCAAGGUCAAUUUGGAGAAAGGGCCAUUUCCAGGCUCCUUCACCUCUGCCCAGCGUUCUACAGGCCUGGCCCCCCCGCAGAACAGGGCGCGGGAGGAGGCGGCUCGGGCUGGCUCGGAGAGCUGAGGGGCGCACACCCGCUUCGCAGGGCCAGGGUGACACGGAAGCAUGCGACGGCUGCUGAUUCCUCUGGCUCUGUGGCUGGGCGCGGUGGGCGUGGGCGUCGCCGAGCUCACGGAAGCCCAGCGCCGGGGCCUGCAGGUGGCCCUGGAGGAAUUUCACAAGCACCCGCCCGUGCAGUGGGCCUUCCAGGAGACCAGUGUGGAGAGCGCCGUGGACACGGUGAGUAGCAUGGCCCCGGCGGGAGCGGGGAGGGUCGCACCCCAGGAGACCAGCGCAUUCCCAGGAAGCGGGACAGAAGUGCUUGGGCUCUGAGCCCCAGCCCUUUGGAGAAAAGGCCCCUGUCCAGCCUGCUGGGAUGUGACUGCGUGAGGGAGGGAUCACACCAGGGCUUGCUCUGCACCCUCAGCUGGCUACCGGCCAUCCUCUGCCUGCCUGUCUGUCCGCAGCCCUUCCCAGCUGGAAUAUUUGUGAGGCUGGAAUUUAAGCUCCAGCAGACAAGCUGCCGGAAGAGGGACUGGAAGAAACCCGAGUGCAAAGUCAGGCCCAAUGGGAGGAAACGGAAAUGCCUGGCCUGCAUCAAACUGGGCUCUGAGGACAAAGUUCUGGGCCGGUUGGUCCACUGCCCCAUAGAGACCCAAGUUCUGCGGGAGCCUGAGGAGCACCAGGAGACCCAGUGCAUCAGGGUGCAGCGGGCUGGUGAGGACCCCCACAGCUUCUACUUCCCUGGACAGUUCGCCUUCUCCAAGGCCCUGCCCCGCAGCUGAGCCAGCACUGAGCUGCGUGGCGCCUCCAGGACCGCUGCCGGUGGUAACCAGUGGAAGACCCCAGCCCCCAGGGAGAGGACCCCGUUCUAUCCCCGGCCAUGAUAAUAAAGCUGCUCUCCCAGCUGCCUCUCAG
Molecule: small RNA, 1883 nt
Filed under: Pongo abelii (Sumatran orangutan)
Lineage: Eukaryota; Metazoa; Chordata; Mammalia; Primates; Hominidae
Description: retained intron
Source: RNAcentral